Non-coding RNA from Vicia faba (fava bean), 285 nucleotides. Lineage: Eukaryota; Viridiplantae; Streptophyta; Magnoliopsida; Fabales; Fabaceae. The record is from the annotation of a GenBank genome assembly.
AUGCUUUUCCUUCAACAAUCCAGGAAGGAUCAAACACAUGCCAAGAAUGAUAAAGCUUCAAAUUCUGACACAAGAGUAAUCUCAGGUAUGGUUAACAUAGGUAAUCCUAUUCGUGAUACUUCUAUAUGGAUACUUGAUUCAGGGGCAUCACGUCAUGUUUUCCCUCAUAUAAAGUGUUUUUCUGGUAUAUCCAUGAUUCCACUUGUGCAAAUCUAUCUUCCUAAUGAAAGGCAUAAAGCAGGGUUAGUGGCUCAAGGUUUCAAAAAAAUCCAAGAUCGCGGUUAG